UUAAUCAUUUUAAGCAUCUUUAACACAGGCUAAUUAACACCUAACAAAUUCCUUUGUACUUUUUAAAAACACUUUUAACAUAGGCCAGGCCCCAUGGCCAUUGGCUCAACUUACCCAAGGCAAAUUUUUUUACUAUAUUAGCCCAAACAGCUACAAGGAUGCACUUUCAUGCUAAGUUUAUGACCUCAUAUUGUAGCUUAUAGAGACCCCAACUGAUGUAUAGAACAAUCUUAAAAAUAUCUACUUUGGUUUAGAUACAAGCAUCAUACAACCACAAUACAUUUUUGACUAGGUCCAAAACAAGGUUUGGGGGACCUAACCUGCCUACCACUAAUUCCAUGUGGUUUCUUCCUAAGUUGUAUUCUGAAACGCAGCCCUGAAACAGCCUUGUAAUAUAUCCAACCAUUGAACAGAAGAUGGGAAAAGCAGGACCUCUAAAAUCACUGUUUUAUUUAAUGGUCUGGUGCUCUCACCAACACCACCACUGGGGUGGAAACAGUGACUCGGGUUAGGGUUAGGGCGCUCCCCUCCCAUCCCUACCCAUGCAGGGUGGUUUCACAGAUGUCCUCCUCCCCACCUGUGUAAAGGGAAGUGCUUCCCGAGUAGAACAACAGCUCAUCCGGCAGCAAGAGGGGCGGGUCUCAAUUCACCUUCUACUCCUCCCCAUUGGCCGAACACUCCUCCAGCAGCAUGAUGAUUCUGUACUGUGACACUGUGCUUUCAGGGGGCUUCCAUAGAGGGAGGUGGAAAACAAUACCCUGAGCUUAGGCUUCAUGUGGUACAGCCAAUGCAAGAGGGGCGGGUCUCAAUUCACCUUCUACUCCUCCCCAUUGGCCGAACACUCCUCCAGCAGCAUGAUGAUUCUGUACUGUGACACUGUGCUUUCAGGGGGCUUCCGUAGAGGGAGGAGGAAAACAAUACCCUGAGCUUAGGCUUCAUGUGGUACAGCCAAUAGUAGCUAUGGUCCCCCAUUAACCCUGUCCUCACUCUCUCCUGCUACACUUACCCUGUUUUAAGGAGCUGGAUGACAUCAGUACAUAGCGAGUAUUUUCUGCCUCUUACGCCUGCCCUGUGUUUGUGUGUGUGUGUGUGUGUCGUCUGUGUCUGUGCGUGUGUCCAUUCAUGUUUGUGUGUGCGUGUGUCUGUUCGUGUGUGUGUGUCUGUGCGUGUGUGUCUGUGCUUGUGUGUGUCUGUGUGUGUGUCCGUUCAUGUUUGUGUGUGUGUGUGUCUGUGCGUGUGUCCGUUCAUGUUUGUGUGUGUGUGUGUGUGUUUGCGAGGUGCAAGGGGUGUAGGGGACGGACAAGGCAUCACUUGUUUUGUUAAGUCUGGACUGGUGUUUGCCUUCAGGGGAUAGUGUUUUCGGGCUUAUGCCUUUUGUAUACAGUAACAUUUCUCAAUAAGCAUGACUGUCUGUGAGUAAUUGUGUGUUUGUGGUAUGAAUCUGUGAAACUCCGUUGUUUCAUGAAUACAUGUUGUUGAGAAAUGGACUUUGCUAACAGGUCUCCUCUCUCCAUAAGUGCAGGCUGUUAAACCCCAGAUAGUAUUUUUAGGGAGAAAAUCAUGCCCUUGUUUCUGUCUCCAUCCAUGCGUCUGUCUCUCUGUGUAUGUACGCUGGACUAAAAUAGCAGCAUGGGCUCCUGUGAGAAUAAACACAGGGGUUGCAUCCCAGAUGGCACCCUAUGCCCUUCAUAGUGCACUACUUUUGACCAGAGCCAUGGCCAAAAGUAGUGCACUAUAUAGGGAAUUGGGUGCCAUCUGAGACGCAGAUAGGGAAAGGCAUCUGCUGGGUUUCACACAGGUCUAACAGACAACUGGAGGUGGGAAACCUGGGGAAAGAAACUCUAUAACGACAGAACUUCCUAUUCUCAGCUGAGUGAUGCCAUAGUAACGCCUACCCUUGUUUGUUUGUUUAGUUUUUUACUCAGGUGAGGUUGUGGACGCAGUGCGCCACUACCACUAAAUAUGCAGUCGAGAUUCCUACGUUUGUGAAAGUUGCAGGGGUCAUCAAUGGCCGAGCCUUGGCCCGGGGGAACCUCCUUCGUGAUCGAGGUACCCUGCUAGGUUUCUACCUCCUUGGCAGUCAGGAUCCAUAUUGAUCUGAAAGAUGGCCCUUGUGCAUAUCACCCCUCUCUGGACCCUCGAAUAGGCUGUGUUGAGCAGAAUGUAAAAAUGAAUAACUUUAAUAAAAGGUUAUAUACUAUGUUGACUCUCCAGAGGAUACCAGUGGUGAUAGGAGAGAUGCUUCGCAGCGUUCUCAGUUAUCAUAUCUACCUCUGUUAUUACGGUUAGCCUGGGGCUCUAGGGCUACCUUUACUCAGUGCUCUGGCCCGAAUGCCACCAUAUUCCCUUGAUAGUGCACUACGUUUGACCAAGGCCCAUAUAGGGAAUAGGGUGCCAUUUGGGAAGCACACCCAGUGAGAUGUGGCAUCAACUGCAUUGUUGGUUAAGGGCUUGUAAGUAAACAUUUCACGGUAAGGAUCUACACCUGUUGUAUUCGUGACAUGUGACAAUAAAAUGUGAUUUAAUUUGAGUGCUCCCUGUAACCGGUAGUGACAGAUUGUUAUGCCCUUUAGGACUGUCCUGUGCGGUCACAAUGACACCUCCCAAAUGGCACCCUACUCCCUACCUUUGACCAGUAGUGCGCUGCAUAAGGAGUAGGCUACUAUUUAAGGACACAGUAACUUUGAAUUCACCUCAGACUGCAGAGGUAAAGCUAUUACUGUAUUGAACAACAUGUGAGAGCAACGAGCGCAUAGAUCAUGUAAUAGGACAGGCAGGCAGAACAAACUUGACACGUCAAAUCAGUGUGUGUGCAGAAUAGAGAGAUACAUUUGGUUUUAUUUAACCUUUAUUUUAUCAGGGAGUCAUACUGAGGUCAAUAUCUAUUUUUACAGAUGAGCCCUGAAUUACAUAAAUUACAUAAUAACACACAUCAAUAUCAUAUCAAAAACCAGACACAGUCAUCAGUUAUAAGUUCCUCAAUCACCUUUCUGAAUUGCCCUAGACCAGUGGUUCUCAAACAUUUUAUAGCCCCUUCCCCCUUCAAACAUUCAACCUCCAGCUGCGUACCCCCUCUAGCACCAGGGUCAGCGCACUCUCAAAUGUCGUUUUUUUUGUCAUCAUUGUAAGCCUGCCACACACACACUAUACAAUACAUUUAUUAAACAUAAGAAUGAGGGUGAGUUUUUGUCACAACCCGGCUCGUGGGAAGUGACAAAGAGCUCUUAUAGUACCAGGGCACAAAUAAUAAUAUAAUAAUAAUCAAUAAUGUUGCUCUUUAUUUAAACUUUAUACGUGAGGGCUGAGAAUCCACUCUCACGUAGGUACGUGGUUGCAAAGGGCAUCAGUGUGUUAACAGGGCGAUUUGCCAAGGCAGGAUACUCUGAGUGCAGCCCAAUCCAGAAAUCUGUCAGUGGCUUCUGAUUAAAUUAAAUUUUCACAGAACCGCUUGUUGCAAUUUUUAUGAGGCUCUCUUGUUCAGAUAUCGGUAAGUGGACUGGAGGCAGGGCAUGAAAGGGAUAACGAAUCCAGUGGUUUGUCUCAUCCAUUUCAGGAAAGUACAUGUGUAAUUGCGCACCCAACUCACUCAGGUGCUUCGCUAUAUCACAUUUGACAUUGUCCGUAAGCUUGAGUUCAUUUGCCCACAAGAAAUCAUACAAUGAUGGAAAGACCUGUGUCCUUGUUAAUGCAGACAGAGGAGAGCUCCAACUUCUUAAUCAUAGCCUCAAUAUUAUCCCACACAAUGAAUAUAGUUGUGGAGAGUCCCUGUAAUCCUAGAUUCAGAUCAAUCAGGCGAGAAAAAACAUCCCCAGAUGGGCCAGUCGUGUGAUAAACUCAUCAUCAUACAAGCAGUCAGACAAGUGAAAAUUAUGGUCAGUAAAGCUCGUCUCUCAAUUUUUUUUUAAAACGUGUAAAUUCUUUGCCUCUUAAUAACCAGCGCACUUCUGUAUGUUGUAAAAGUGUUACAUGGUCGCUGCCCAUAUCAUUGCAUAGUGCAUUAAAUACACAAGAGUUCAGGGGCUUUGCUUUAACAAAGUUAACCAUUUUCACUGUAGUGUCCAAAACGUCUUUCAAGCUGUCAGGCAUUCCCUUGGCAGCAAGAGCCUCUCGGUGGAUGCUGCAGUGUACCCAAGUGGCGUCGGGAGCAACUGCUUGCACACGUAUUACCACUCCACUAGGUCUCCCUGUCAUGGCUUUUGCACCAUCAGUACAGAUACCAACACAUCUAGACCACCAAAGUCCAUUCGAUGUCACAAAGCUGUCCAGUACUUUAAAAAUAUCUUGUCAUGUUGUCCUGGUUUCCAGUGGUUUGCAGAAGAGGAUGUCUUCCUUAAUUGACCCCCCAUAAACGUAACGGACAUAUACCAGGAGCUGUGCCAGGCCCGCCACGUCUGUUGACUCAUCCAGCUGUAAUGCAUAGAAUUCACUGGCUUGUAUGUGAAGCAGUAAUUGUUUCAUAACAUCUCCUGCCAUGUCACUGAUGCGUUGUGAAACAGUGUUGUUUGAUGAAGACAUUGUCUGUAUAUUUUUUUUGGCCUUUCCCCCCUUCAUUGUCCCAGCCAUAUCCGCGGCAGCAGGAAGAAUUAAGUCCUCCACAAUAGUAUGGGGCUUUUAAUUUUAUUUUUGGCAGUGAAACGAGGCUACUCAGACGAGAGAAAAAACUCACCCAAAUGUACAGCCCCGUUGGAAAAUCUAAAUGGACUUUUAGAAAAUAUGAAGAGACAAUACAUUUUUUUAAAUCACAUUUUUAUUUGGUGUACCCCUGAAGGCAUUGCGCGUACCCCUGAGGGCAUACCUGCCCUAGAGGCACGAGAGCAUCACAUUUAAUAACAUUUUGAAGAUUGUUCCACAAAUACAGUGCAAAAAAACUAUUUCCCCAACUGAGUACAGACCGCUGGAAUUUCCAGAGUUAGCCAUUUCUGAGACCGGGGGUGGUAACUCAUAUGUCUAGGUUAGUAAUGAUGAUUUGUUUUGUAACAGGACUUUAUAAAAGAAAACAUAGCAUUGAAUCAACCUACAUGACAUCAAAGAGGGACAACCAACAUUCUGGUAGAGAAUGCAGUUAUGAGUAGCUAGCCAGAGGGAGAAUUAUUAUGUAUGUAUUAUGUAUUAUUGUAUGAAUUAACCUUAUUAAAUAAUUGAAUUGUUA
Molecule: long non-coding RNA, 5149 nt
Organism: Oncorhynchus nerka (sockeye salmon)
Lineage: Eukaryota; Metazoa; Chordata; Actinopteri; Salmoniformes; Salmonidae
Exons: 2
Source: RefSeq, a predicted model, not a curated record